Molecule: ribosomal RNA, 253 nt
Filed under: uncultured bacterium
Lineage: Bacteria
Description: partial 16S ribosomal RNA
Rfam family: Bacterial small subunit ribosomal RNA
Source: RNAcentral
UACGUAGGGACCGAGCGUUGUCCGGAAUCAUUGGGCGUAAAGAGCGUGUAGGCGGCCAAUUAAGUCCUGCGUGAAAUCUCGGGGCUCAACCCCGAGCGGUCGUGGGAAACUGGUUGGCUAGAGUGCGGGAGAGGAGAGUGGAAUUCCUGGUGUAGCGGUGAAAUGCGCAGAUAUCAGGAGGAACACCGGUGGCGAAGGCGACUACCUGGCCUGUUCUUGACGCUGAGGCGCGAAAGCUAGGGGAGCAAACGGG